UACAGAGGGUGCGAGCGUUGUUCGGAAUUAUUGGGCGUAAAGCGCGCGCAGGCGGUUUCUUAAGUCUGAUGUGAAAGCCCACGGCUCAACCGUGGAGGGUCAUUGGAAACUGGGGAACUUGAGUGCAGAAGAGAAGAGCGGAAUUCCACGUGUAGCGGUGAAAUGCGUAGAGAUGUGGAGGAACACCAGUGGCGAAGGCGGCUCUUUGGUCUGUAACUGACGCUGAGGCGCGAAAGCGUGGGGAGCAAACAGG
This 253-nucleotide ribosomal RNA is filed under the name uncultured bacterium. Its description in RNAcentral is "partial 16S ribosomal RNA". It matches the Rfam family "Bacterial small subunit ribosomal RNA", at positions 524 to 776 of the family's 1533-position model. The record is from RNAcentral.